CAUGGCGCUUGCUGAAGCGGGCGCUGCAGUGACAUGGAUAAAGAAAAAUAACAGCUGAUUUUAUCGUUGUGACCAUCGUAAGCGCUGUGAGACUCCCGGGGAGAUAUCGGUAGCCAGCCAGUAUUCACUGCCCCGUCAGCACGUGCGAUCGACAGCGGAAACGAAGAAACGAGCGAAAGUGUGCAUGCGAGUGUCGUCGUUUCGUGUCUUGCCUGGAUGUACCAUCCAUCUUUCAAGUGUAAUCGCAAUGAACUUCAAAGAUUUCUGUGAUAUGGCGUGCGUGCUGCCAGGCGCACUGCGUGAUUGCCUCCAAGACUGCACGCAACCUGUCGGUGUGCCAUCUCGGAGGUCUAGACUGGUAAAACCUCAAAAAGGCGAGCGCACUCAUGAGAGCUCUGCGAUCGCCAGCGUGCCUCGUGAGUUGUGGCAGUCAGGCAUAGAGGCGUACCAGCCGUGGAGGGCAAGGAGGGUGCCAGCCCCCCCCCCCCCCCCAACUUUCGACAGUGGUGACUGUUGGCUGCACGCCGGGGAAAGCAACAAUUGAAGCGAAGUUUUCCUUCACCACAGUAUUCACUAAAUUAUGUUAAUACGAGGGAAUAUUACAAUAUAGUGAAAUUUCUUCAACA
Long non-coding RNA from Rhipicephalus microplus (southern cattle tick), 626 nucleotides. The record is from RefSeq and is a predicted model, not a curated record. Lineage: Eukaryota; Metazoa; Arthropoda; Arachnida; Ixodida; Ixodidae.